Small nuclear RNA from Hyaena hyaena (striped hyena), 152 nucleotides. RefSeq annotates it as U12 minor spliceosomal RNA. Lineage: Eukaryota; Metazoa; Chordata; Mammalia; Carnivora; Hyaenidae. The transcript has a single exon. The record is from RefSeq and is a predicted model, not a curated record.
AUGCCUUAAACUUAUGAAGAGGGAAAAAUAAUCAUUCCGGGUGAUGCCUGAAUCCUCAUUGCUAACAUGGGACUAAUUUUUGAGUGGGUAAAAGGUUGCCUCUAGGGGGACCCACCUGCUUUGCAGGGUGCCUUGGAGUUAUGAUGUGCUUG